AACGAACGCUGGCGGCAGGCCUAACACAUGCAAGUCGAGCGAGGACUUCGGUCCUAGCGGCGGACGGGUGAGUAACGCGUGGGAACGUGCCCUUUGCUUCGGAAUAGCCCUGGGAAACUGGGAGUAAUACCGGAUGAGCCCUUUGGGGGAAAGAUUUAUCGGCGAAGGAUCGGCCCGCGUUGGAUUAGGUAGUUGGUGGGGUAAUGGCCUACCAAGCCGACGAUCCAUAGCUGGUUUGAGAGGAUGAUCAGCCACACUGGGACUGAGACACGGCCCAGACUCCUACGGGAGGCAGCAGUGGGGCAUCUUAGACAAUGGGGGAAACCCUGAUCUAGCCAUGCUGCGUGAGCGAUGAAGGCCUUAGGGUUGUAAAGCUCUUUCAGCUGGGAAGAUAAUGACGGUACCAGCAGAAGAAGCCCCGGCUAACUCCGUG
Molecule: ribosomal RNA, 433 nt
Filed under: uncultured bacterium
Lineage: Bacteria
Description: partial 16S ribosomal RNA
Rfam family: Bacterial small subunit ribosomal RNA
Source: RNAcentral